RNAcentral lists this ribosomal RNA (390 nucleotides) under uncultured bacterium. Its description in RNAcentral is "bacterial SSU rRNA". It matches the Rfam family "Bacterial small subunit ribosomal RNA", at positions 30 to 425 of the family's 1533-position model. The record is from RNAcentral.
AUUGAACGCUGGCGGCAUGCCUUACACAUGCAAGUCGAACGGCAGCGCGGGGCAACCUGGCGGCGAGUGGCGAACGGGUGAGUAAUAUAUCGGAACGUACCCUGGAGUGGGGGAUAACGUAGCGAAAGUUACGCUAAUACCGCAUACGAUCUAAGGAUGAAAGCAGGGGACCGCAAGGCCUUGUGCUCCUGGAGCGGCCGAUAUCUGAUUAGCUAGUUGGUGGGGAAAGGCCUACCAAGGCAUCGAUCAGUAGCUGGUCUGAGAGGACGACCAGCCACACUGGAACUGAGACACGGUCCAGACUCCUACGGGAGGCAGCAGUGGGGAAUUUUGGACAAUGGGCGCAAGCCUGAUCCAGCAAUGCCGCGUGAGUGAAGAAGGCCUCGGUUG